CGGGGUGCAGCAGGCGCGAAAACUCUACAAUGCAGGCAACUGCGAUAGGGGAACAUCGAGUGAUCCUCAUAUUGGGGGUCUGUCCACUCGCCUAAAAAGCGGGUGUUAGCAAGGGCCGGGCAAGACCGGUGCCAGCCGCCGCGGUAAUACCGGCGGCUCGAGUGGUGGCCGAUAUUAUUGAGUCUAAAGGGUCCGUAGCCGGCUUUGCAAGUCUCUCGGGAAAUCCAGCGGCUUAACCGUUGGUCGUCCGGGGGGUACUACAUUGCUUGGGACUGGGAGAGGUAGGAGGUACUCAGGGGGUAGGAGUGAAAUCCUGUAAUCCUUUGGGGACCACCGGUGGCGAAGGCGUCCUACCAGAACAGGUCCGACGGUGAGGGACGAAAGCUAGGGGCACGAACCGGAUUAGAUACCCGGGUAGUCCUAGCCGUAAACGAUGCUCGCUAGGUGUCACAACAGUCGUGAACUGUUGUGGUGCCGUAGGGAAGCCGUGAAGCGAGCCACUUGGGAAGUACGACCGCAAGGUUGAAACUUAAAGGAAUUGGCGGGGGAGCAC
This 553-nucleotide ribosomal RNA is filed under the name uncultured archaeon. Its description in RNAcentral is "bacterial SSU rRNA". It matches the Rfam family "Archaeal small subunit ribosomal RNA", at positions 326 to 879 of the family's 1478-position model. The record is from RNAcentral.